RNAcentral lists this ribosomal RNA (443 nucleotides) under uncultured bacterium. RNAcentral's name for it is "partial 16S ribosomal RNA". It matches the Rfam family "Bacterial small subunit ribosomal RNA", at positions 338 to 795 of the family's 1533-position model. The record is from RNAcentral.
CCUACGGGUGGCAGCAGUGGGGAAUAUUGGGCAAUGGGCGCAAGCCUGACCCAGCAACGCCGCGUGAAGGAAGAAGGCUUUCGGGUUGUAAACUUCUUUUCUCAGGGACGAAGAAAGUGACGGUACCUGCGGAAUAAGCCACGGCUAACUACGUGCAAGCAGCCGCGGUAAUACGUAGGUGGCAAGCGUUAUCCGGAUUUAAUGGGUGUAAAGGGCGUGUAGGCGGGACUGCAAGUCAGAUGUGAAAACCACGGGCUCAACCUGGGGCCUGCAUUUGAAACUGUAGUUCUUGAGUGCUGGAGAGGCAGACGGAAUGCCUGGUGUAGCGGUGAAAUGCGUAGAUAUUAGGAGGAACACCAGUGGCGAAGGCGGAUUGCUGGACAGUAACUGACGCUGAGGCGCGAAAGCGUGGGGAGCAAACAGGAUUAGAUACCCGUGUAGUC